GUCUCAGGCCGUAUCAGCCUGAAGGCGCCCGAUCUCGUCUGAUCUCGGAAGCUAAGCAGGGUCGGGCCUCGUUAGGAUCUUGGAUGGGAGACCACCUGGGAAUCCCGGGUGCUCGAGGCU
Molecule: ribosomal RNA, 120 nt
Filed under: Bison bison bison
Lineage: Eukaryota; Metazoa; Chordata; Mammalia; Artiodactyla; Bovidae
Source: RNAcentral